RNAcentral lists this ribosomal RNA (1555 nucleotides) under Myxobolus honghuensis. RNAcentral's name for it is "SSU rRNA". It matches the Rfam family "Eukaryotic small subunit ribosomal RNA", at positions 111 to 1437 of the family's 1831-position model. Lineage: Eukaryota; Metazoa; Cnidaria; Myxozoa; Bivalvulida; Myxobolidae. The record is from RNAcentral.
GAUUAUCUGUUUGAUUGUCUUGCCCAUUGGAUAACCGUGGGAAAUCUAGAGCUAAUACAUGCAGUUUAUUGGCGUAGUUGAAAGACUAUGUCAAAGCAUUUAUUAGACUUAACCAACUACUAUACGCAAGUAUGGUAAGGCGAAUCUAGAUAACUUUGCUGAUCGUAUGGCCCUGUGCCGACGACGUUUCAAUUGAGUUUCUGCCCUAUCAAUUUGUUGGUAAGGUAUUGGCUUACCAAGGUUGCAACGGGUAACGGGGAAUCAGGGUUCGAUUCCGGAGAGGGAGCCUGAGAAACGGCUACCACAUCCAAGGAAGGCAGCAGGCGCGCAAAUUACCCAAUCUAGACAGUAGGAGGUGGUGAAGAGAAGUACUUAGUGGUGGCCUUAAUGGUCCCAACUAGGAAUGAACGUAAUUUAAGCAAUUCGAUGAGUAACUACUGGAGGGCAAGUCCUGGUGCCAGCAGCCGCGGUAAUUCCAGCUCCAGUGGCGUGAUUUAAAGUUGCUGCGUUUAAAACGCUCGUAGUUGGAUCAUGCAAUAACAUGUAGUAACACUGGUUGGUAAAUUUGACGAUUCUCUUCUUGAUUAUUGGAUAAUUAUCGACCAGUGUGUUCAUGCUACAUGUUAUUAUUUGCACACAAGUAUGAUAUUUGGGCUUAAGUGAUUCGAGUAUCAUGUCUUGUGGAGUGUGCCUUGAAUAAAACAGAGUGCUCAAAGCAGGCGAACGCUUGAAUGUUGUAGCAUGGAACGAACAAACGUGUAUUUGUGUAUAUUUGAACGGUCGGUGGCAACACUGACUGUUUGGGUAUAUGCAGCACCCGCCGAAAUGCGAAUGUUGGUUUUCGUAUAAGGUGAUGAUUAAAAGAAGCGGUUGGGGGCAUUGGUAUUUGGCCGCGAGAGGUGAAAUUCUUGGACCGGCCAAGGACUAACAGAUGCGAAGGCGUUUGUCUAGACCGUUUUCAUUAAUCAAGAACGAAAGUGGGAGGUUCGAAGACGAUCAGAUACCGUCCUAGUUCCCACUAUAAACUAUGCCGACCUGGGAUCAGUUUAGUGAUUAACAAGCUCUAGGUUGGUCCCCCUGGGAAACCUCAAGUUUUUCGGUUACGGGGAGAGUAUGGUCGCAAGUCUGAAACUUAAAGGAAUUGACGGAAGGGCACCACCAGGGGUGGAACCUGCGGCUUAAUUUGACUCAACACGGGGAAACUUACCUGGUCCGGACAUCGAAAGGAUAGACAGACUGAUAGAUCUUUCUUGAUGCGGUGAGUGGUGGUGCAUGGCCGUUCUUAGUUCGUGGAGUGAUCUGUCAGGUUAAUUCCGGUAACGAACGAGACCACAAUCUUCAUUUGAGAAAUAGUAGUAGGGAGUUGGCUCAGUGGUGUUUCGGCAGCUCUGGGUUGGCUUUCGUAGGUAGAAUUAUUGAAUUUCAUAAAAGUAGCAUUCUGGGCUCGCUCAGGGUGUAAUGUUUAUGAAAGGAUAUGGUUUUCCCUACUGUUAUGCAGUGUUAGGCAAAACCUUUACGCUGCCUCAUGGAGAGACAACAGGUUUAUAAAAGCCUG